RNAcentral lists this ribosomal RNA (253 nucleotides) under uncultured bacterium. RNAcentral describes it as "partial 16S ribosomal RNA". It matches the Rfam family "Bacterial small subunit ribosomal RNA", at positions 524 to 776 of the family's 1533-position model. The record is from RNAcentral.
UACAGAGGGGGCAAGCGUUAUUCGGAAUUAUUGGGCGUAAAGGGCGCGUAGGCGGCUUGGCAAGUGGAUGGUGAAAUCCCUCGGCUUAACCGAGGAACGGCCGUCAAAACUGCUUCGCUUGAGACCGGGAGAGGUGAGUGGAAUUCCCAGUGUAGCGGUGAAAUGCGUAGAUAUUGGGAGGAACACCAGUGGCGAAGGCGGCUCACUGGACCGGUACUGACGCUGAAGCGCGAAAGCGUGGGGAGCAAACGGG